UCGGGAAGUAGCUCAGCUUGGUAGAGCACUUGGUUUGGGACCAAGGGGUCGCAGGUUCGAAUCCUGUCUUCCCGAU
Molecule: transfer RNA, 76 nt
Filed under: Staphylococcus aureus
Lineage: Bacteria; Bacillati; Bacillota; Bacilli; Caryophanales; Staphylococcaceae
Also listed under: 40 other names
Description: tRNA-Pro(tgg)
Rfam family: tRNA
About the family: Transfer RNA (tRNA) molecules are approximately 80 nucleotides in length. Their secondary structure includes four short double-helical elements and three loops (D, anti-codon, and T loops).
Source: RNAcentral